Bombus pyrosoma is the source of this 1644-nucleotide RNA transcript. It is a transcript of the gene named ATPase ASNA1 homolog, with no coding region annotated. The transcript is spliced from 7 exons. NCBI's taxonomy places the organism in Eukaryota, Metazoa, Arthropoda, Insecta, Hymenoptera, Apidae. The record is from RefSeq and is a predicted model, not a curated record.
UAACACAAAAAAAGCUCUUGCCCCAUAGCUAGCAACAUUAGUAAAUGACGUGGUAAGAUUUGUUAGGAACACAGUCUUUCUUGAUGAAUAUGAGCAUAAAUAAUGAAGAAACGAUUGAAUACGAGCCUUCGAUUAGAAACGUAAUCGAACAACGGUCUUUGCGAUGGAUAUUUGUCGGUGGUAAAGGUGGAGUCGGUAAAACGACGUGCAGUUGUUCGUUGGCUGUGCAGUUAUCGAAAGUCAGAGAAAAUGUACUCAUCAUAUCUACUGACCCGGCGCACAAUAUCUCCGACGCGUUUGAUCAAAAGUUCAGUAAAGUUCCGACGAAAGUAAAAGGUUUUGAAAAUCUUUUCGCUAUGGAAAUAGAUCCAAACGUGGGCAUUACCGAAUUACCAGAGGAGUAUUUCGAAAGUGAAGCAGUUUCAGGAGGAGAAGCCAUGAGAUUGAGCAGAAGCAUAAUGCAAGAAAUUGUUGGAGCAUUCCCUGGUAUAGAUGAAGCAAUGAGUUACGCAGAAGUCAUGAAGUUGGUUAAAGGAAUGAACUUUUCUGUUGUUGUUUUUGAUACUGCACCCACUGGCCAUACUUUAAGAUUAUUAUCAUUCCCACAAGUAGUAGAAAAAGGAUUGGGGAAAUUAAUGCGUCUGAAGAUGAAGAUUAGUCCUUUUAUUACACAGAUCAGUUCAUUAAUGGGAAUGACAGAUUUCAAUGUAGAUACAUUCUGUAACAAAAUAGAGGAGAUGCUUGUUGUCAUUCGACAAGUUAAUGAACAAUUUAAAAACCCUGACCAGACUACAUUUGUUUGUGUGUGCAUAGCAGAAUUCUUGUCAUUGUACGAGACAGAAAGACUCGUACAAGAAUUAACAAAAUGUGGUAUAGAUACUCACAAUAUCAUAGUGAAUCAGUUAUUAUUCUUAAAAGAAAAAUAUGCAUCUUGUAAACUGUGUCUUGCUAGGCAUAAAAUACAAGACAAAUAUUUAGAGCAGAUAAUGGAUCUUUAUGAAGAUUUUCAUAUUAUCCGGGUUCCUUUAUUAGAAAAAGAAAUUCGAGGAGUUCAACAAAUCAGAGAAUUUUCGGAAAAUCUUGUAAAACCAUAUAAGCCUUAACAUCUGUACAAUUAACAUUUCGUAAAAAUAUAUAACUUUGACAUGUAAUCAAAAGAUUUUUAAACUAAAAAGAUCACUUAUACACGAUGAAGUUUGUAUAAGAGUAUACCUUACUAGCUGAUGCAACUACAGGUGGUGGCAAUGAAUUUGAAAAUAAAUAUGGUCUGCUACGUUGUCUCAACAAAUUAAUAAGUUCUUUUUUACUAGUUGUAUAACCACCUGCUGCUCCACCAAGAGCUUUACCUAACGUGGAGUUAAUGAUAUCAACAUUUCCUAAUUGAUUAAAAUAAUCCUCUGUGCCUCUAGAAUUAAAUUACUCAAUAUUAAAAUAAACUUUAUAGUUAAUCUAAUUAUUUUUCAAUAAUACAAUAUAUUUAAAAAAAUUAGAGUAAGUUAAAAUAAAUAAAAACCACAGUAAAUUUAGGUCCGAAUUUUAAAAGAAAGUUAAGAAAUGUGAAAAGAACUAAACAAUUGUUAUAGAAGAAAAAAUUGUAUCGGCUGUUAAUUAAUAGAAAUUUAAUACAAAGUGUAUCAAAAUAAA